Molecule: long non-coding RNA, 1852 nt
Organism: Frieseomelitta varia
Lineage: Eukaryota; Metazoa; Arthropoda; Insecta; Hymenoptera; Apidae
Exons: 3
Source: RefSeq, a predicted model, not a curated record
GCGCGCACCAAGUACGCGCGACAAGGACGCGCAAUCCGGUUCGCCAAACCGAAUGUACACGACAAGGACCGAACGAGUUACGUUAAAAAAACGCGGAAACUACCAAUAGGAACAGAUCGACGAACGUUCUUACACGUUGCCACCGUGAGCCAGGUUAAAAGAAACGAAGGGAAAGGCAGGUCAAAGCAGCGACGCACUGGCCAGGUGCGCAGACAUUCCACUCGCCUUGCGGUACGCUUCCCCCGCUUCCCCCGGGCCGCUGAUUAUUUUCCUGGAGCGCCACGUUUUACUUCUUCAUGGCGGACCGAACGAUACGUAAUAUAACGACAGAUCGAUACAUCGAACAAUCCGGAACGAUAGUAUGUAUCCGUGUGUAUGAAUGAAUCCUCUCUAUUGGCGAAGGUAAACAUUCCAAGUGGUAUGAUCAGGAAACCAUGUGGAUUGGGAAGAGGUGUGCGAGAAGGAGAAACAAAAAUGGCGGCUACCUGAGGCGCGCUUCCGAAUUAUACAGAGGCUCUAUAACUGAUCACAGGAAAGAGAGUGAAGAAAAUCCUAACGAGCAACAGGUUGAUACGAUCGACGUGUGAGGUGGGGAGAUAGGAGAAUGAGAAGAGCUAUGUAUAGACAAAGAAGCAGAAAACGGGAAAGCAAUCAUCGUUGGAUUUGGUAGGAAUAUCCGUAGAAGCGAAAUGCUUACUUAGCGCUAUGUAAGACUGACGAUGUUGUGACAAGGAGACCGGAUUGGUCGGUCACCUGUUGCUUGCCAGUUGCGAUUGGUCGGACUUGACAGCGCGUAAUGACGCGACGGUCAGAAGAGGACAAGUGCAUUGUCGACUGGUCUAUGAUGUACCAAGAUCGAAUGAAUAUUAUAAAAAUGCGUACAAUAUAUUUAUGCGUACAAUUUGUUAUUUAUAUCCAUACGAAGUAUUCUGUCUAACACGAUGUACAACUUUUCAAUGAUUCAUGGUCACGUAACAAAAACAAUGUUGAAAAAAAAUUUAUCGAUGCCGAGUGUAUAACGACCAUAAUAAAAAUUUCGAAAAUAAUUACUUUUAUAGCGAAACGAAGAUCAUCUUAGUUUUUUAAAAAGAGAGUUAUGUUUUUUUUUUUUUAAAUUUAUUGUAAAAGAAAACAAACAACUAAAACAUGCAUCACGUUAGAUAGAACAUCAUGUAUGUACAAUAUUGUACACAUACGCAGUACAUUUUACCUUUAUCUAUGAACAAAGCAAUUAUGUUGUCUGUUGUUAAAAUUGAUUUUGCAUUCGUUAGUGUUAAUGGACCAAUUAUUGUUUCGAUAUUGAUUUACGAUAGUUUCAGCUGUACUCUACAACAUAAAUAUUUAUCACCGUUACCUUCGAAUUAUUUACGUUUCUGCAUAAAGUUUAAGUAUGAUAGUAUAAUAGAUAAGAUACAUAUAUACAUAUAUCUGACGUGAAAGCGCAUCUAAUAUUUAAGAUCUUAAUAUAGCAUAUAACACGAAAUAACAAGGACGAAAUCCUUGCAUAUAUAUAUAGCGGACAGGUGUAUAAGUCUUGCGUGAACAAGCGGCGCUGCGGUGAGACUCGCUCGAGACCAAAGUCUACGUUCGAGGAGCAAAGUCUGCUCAAACGAUGGAGGAAAGCCGGUUUACGAUAUCGGACUCUGAACUUCAUAUUAUAUCGAUCCUUUACGUUAAUGAAUGUUGUUAUAAAAUAGAUGCGAAUCUUAAGUGUUUCCUUGUAUAUUUGCAAUAACGUUUUGCCAAUUCUUCUUUGUCUAAAUGUUAUUUGCGCGAGCAUCAAACAUUUAAAUGUGAUUAAAGUCUCUAUUAUAAAAUUUAUUAUUCUAAAAUAAACGUUUUUCAUAUAUUA